This 5436-nucleotide long non-coding RNA is filed under the name Sus scrofa (pig). Its description in RNAcentral is "lncRNA (ENSSSCG00000041889.1)". Lineage: Eukaryota; Metazoa; Chordata; Mammalia; Artiodactyla; Suidae. The record is from RNAcentral.
CUGGGGUAUAUGGAAGUUCCCAGGCUAGGGGUCGAAUCAGAGCUAUGGCUGUUGGCUUACACCACAAGCCAUAGCAAUGCCAGUUCCGAGCCACAUCUGUGACAUACACCAUAGCUCAUGGCAACACCACAUCCUUAACCCACAGAGCAAGGCCAGGAAUACCUGUAAUCUCAUGGAUACUAGUCGAGUUCAUAACCUUCUAAGCCACAAUGGGAAUUCCCUGGCAAUAUUAUCUUAAUAUUUGUAAAGACACAAUGAACUUCUUUGCAGAACAGACACUGACUCACAGACUUUGAAAACCUUAGGGUUUCCAAAGGAAAUGGGUUGAGAGGUGGGGGGAUGCACUAGGGGUUUGGGAUGGAAAUGCUAUAAAAUUUUGUUGUGAUGAUCAUUGUACAACUAUCAGUGUAAUAAAAUUCAUUGAGUAAUAAAAUAUUUCUUUUUUUAUUGAAAUUUUGUUUUCCUCUGGGCCAUUUCUUUAGGGAUGGCUGCAGAAAUCAAAGAAGAAAUAUCUGACCAAACAAAUACGGUUCAGUAGAAACUCUCCAUAUAAGAUGUUUUGGGGAAAUUUUACUUAUAUUUGUUAAUCAAGGGACCAGUGUGAUCGAUUAUUGAAUGAUUAGCUCUACAUGGCUCAGUUUGCUUCUCCAGAUAUUUCUUUUUAAAUGGCUUGAGAGGUAGUUAGGAGGAGGUAGAAGGGAAAAGUGCUGACUAGGAGACAGACGUGAAUAGUUUCAACUUUGUCACUACCUACCUGUCCAAGUUACUAACCUAUUUGGGCUUCAGUUUCUUCAACUACAAAGUUGAAUCUAAUAAACACUGUUAUUCUAUAUGGAGCCAAGUCCAUUCAGAAAGUCAAAUAGCAUACCAAAGUCUUUUUCUAAAUAUUGUGUUACUGCUAUUCAUUGCAUUUGUGUGUAUGUGUAUGUGUGUGCUGGUGGAGUGCUGGGUGGAAGGAAGGCUUCCUACUUCUCCACAUAUCAGUAAUUGAAAAACAGGCUGGAAAAAAAACACUGUGUUCUCCUAUGUUUGGGCAAACAGGAAUCAGGCCACCCUGACCUCAUGGUCACACAGAGAUUGCCAGGAAGCCUGCAGAGUUCAUCCAAUGUUGCCCAGAUAGCACAUUAGGCUGAGAGGAAGCUGUAAGGAGCAGUGGAGAGAGUUAAUGCAGGUAAAGAGGUGAGCAGGUGCUGGCAAUGCGCUGUGCUCACUAUUCGCUGUAUUAACACCUGCCUGAUCGUCAUUUGUAACUCUUACAGAAAUAGCCCAUAGAGUUAUCUAGGAGGGGGGAAAACCCUUAAUUCACUCCAACCUCACUCUAGGUGCAUUAAUACUUUUUAAAAAGAAACUAUAAGAGUUCCCCUCAUGGUGCAAGGGAAACGAAUCUGACUAGAAAACAUGAGGUUACGGGUUUGAUCCCCAGCCUCACUCAGUGGGUUAAGGAUCCAGUGUUACCAUGAGCUGUGGAAUAGGUUGAAGAUGUGGCUUGGAUCUGGUGUUGCUGUGGCUCUGGCAUAGGCUGGCAGCUGUAGCUUUGAUUCGACCCCUAGCCUGGGAACCUCCAUCUGCCAUGGGUGUGGCCCUAAAAAGCAAAAAACAAAAAAACUAUAAUAUUUCUACUACUGUUGUUAAGAUUAUUAUUUCUUUUUGAUCCAAAUUCCUACAGUUGUGUAUUUCUCUUUUUGGGGUAUUUCUCUGGCAUCACUGUUGAAGCUAAGACCUCAGGUUAGAAGAUCAGGUCCUACAAAGUGCUGCUAUGAGAGCUAAGAGAAAAUGAGUCCUUCCUCCCUUACUCUGGGUGGUGGCCUGCGAUGGUUCCAGGUCUGCAGUGCUCUGUAGCCUUCCCAGCAGCCUCAGGCCUACCCACUCUGCACAUGUCUGCUAAUGCUCCUCCAGUCACAUUUUCAUUUCUUCCUAAAACCUCUCUGUCCCUACCAACAGGUCUAAUGCUACACUCUGCUGCUUCUUCACACACCCCUUCCUUAGCUCUGUGGAAAAUGAUCUCCUGUGAGCUUUCAGGUGCCCAUCCAUGGUUCUCUGCCUAGAAGCGUCUUGCCUCUGCUUAUUGGUCUAGUAAACACUUAAACCUGCCAUCCUUCAAGACUAAGCUAAAAUGUUUCUUCCACGUACUGUAUUGCUUCCUCCUCCGAGCUGCCUUGGCAUCCAAGACACUUAACAUAUACAUGGCCACUGCACUAUAUAAAGACACUUAACAUAUACAUGAGUUUCCUGGAACCAUGCAUUUUAUUUUGUUUUUUGUAUUUCCAUCACAGAAUCUGGCAAACAGGCGCUCAGUAAGUGCUCAGUCCAUAUUUAGACCUGUGUUCUAAUCAUCUCAUCUACAUUCCUGUUAAGAACAGGGUGAGGGAAAGGGCUUACCUGAAAAUAAAAUUGUGUAAACUGCUAUGGGGAAAUUUAUAUUAAACCAUGUUCAUACUUCAAUUUGCUUUAUGGAAAGUCAUCUUUAAACAAAGAAAAAUGAGACCAGAUGACCUAGGGUCCCUUUCAGUUUCAAAGAUCUUAUCUACAGGAAAGUUUCUCCACACUCAACCCCCAACGUACUUCCCCAUGAAUUCCUCUUAUACAACUUAUUUAGGUUAGUUACUCUUUUCAAAACUUCAUUACUUGCUAGGAAACCUAAACCGUACUUAUCCUUUUGCAAACUACUCUAAAUAGAAAUUCUGCUGUGGAGAGCCAUGUGCUUGGGACAGUGAGCUACUUUGUUUUUCGUUUGUUUGUUUAUUGAAGUAUAAUCAACUUACAAUGUUAUAUCAGUUUCAGGUGUUCAACAUGGUGAUUUGAUAUUUUUGUACAGUACAAAAUAAUCACUGCAUAGAGAAGCAGUGAAUGGAGGGCUCUUUUCAGGCACAGAGUUCACAGCUCUAAUGCUAAUUAGCACUCCAGAGCUGCAAUCCACUUUUGGCCCAAAUUCUUGGCCAGUGGAAAGCCAAUCUCCACAAUAUAAAGAGCCUAGGCAUCCUUGCCAGACAAAGCUAGUUUCAAAUCCUGGCUCUGUCACAUACUGGCUCUAUGACUCUGGGCAAGUUACCCAACUUAGCAGAGCCUCUAUUUUCUCACGCAUGAAAUGGUGAUAAUAACACUAAAUACUUCACAGGUUGUUGAGAGGAUUAAACAAGAUGAUGGGGCUAAGGUCCUGCCAUAGAGCAAGUACACAUAAGUAUACUACUGUGUGAGUAACUAUUGUAGUUGUGCAUGACUCUGGGGCUCCCUAGACUUGCCAGGAGCAGGUUUGGGUUGGUUGGUUAUUGGGUCUUGCUCUGAACUGGAGAUGGGUUGGGGUGGGGGGUGGUUAAGUGACAGGACAGGAAGCUUCGUGGAUACCUGGUCAGGUAUGGCAUACUGUGGGGCUCUGAGGUUUGAUCUGCUGAGAAAAAUGCUAUUCCAGGAGCUCCAGAAUAAUCAUCAACCCACAGCCUAUUAAAGACCCUAAAUUCUGGGGGCUAGUCCCUCUUGCAGCUGACAAUCUUUCCAUUCCUAGCUCACUAAACUAGGAAAGGCCACUGCACUAUAUAAAGCUGUGAAAUAACCAGAAACUUUUAAUUCAGAUGCGAAAUAAAAUGCCAGAAUCACUUUUGCCUCUGCAAAUAAUCUGUCUUACCUUUGGAAGUGAGGGCAUGAAGAUUAUAUCUUAAAGUGGGGUGUUCAGAGUAGCUACACCUGAGAGCCAUCUCAUACAGGUUGAAUCAAGAUCUCAGAGAUGGGGAUGAAGAGCCCACAUUAAAUCUAGUUCCCCAGGUAGUCCUGCUGCAUCCUGAACCCUUGCUUCUGCAGUGCAGUCCCAUCAGCAACACUAGGGAACUUAUAAGAAAUGCAGACGCUCAGGCCCUGCCCCAGACCUACUGAAUCUUCACUUUUAAACAAUUGUGCUAAAAUAUGCAUAACACAGAAUUUACCAUCUUGACUGUUUUUAAAUGUAGGGUUCAGUAGUGUUAAGUAUAUUCACAUUAUGCAACCAAUCUCCAGAACUCUUUUCAUCUUGCAAAACUGCAGCUCUGUACCCAUUAAAACUCCCCAUUUCCUCCUCCCCCAACUCCCCAGCCACUGGCAGCCACUCAAAACUGCAUUUCAACAAGCUCCCCAGCUGAUUCAUAUGCCCAUUAAGGGUUGAGAAGCAUUGCUCUAAGUAGGAGGAUCAUAGAUCACAAAAUCAGGAGUUACUGUGAGGCACCCAGGUCAUGACCUUGGCAAUGCAAUAGAAACCAGCCAGCAGGGCAAUGACUAGUCUCUCCAGACAAUUCUGAUGCAUGCUCAAGUUGGAGAACCACUGCUCUAGACCAGUGAUUUGCACUCCAGCCUACAUACUAGAAUCAUCUGGGAACUUUAUGAUUCACACCUGAGACUCCUCCCAAAUCAACUAAUUCUAGUCUCUAAAGGCAGGGCCCAGGUAGCUGAAAGCUCUCCCAGCAAUUCUGAUAACUUAGCCAAGUUUCAGAACCACUGAUCUGUAGGGAUGAAGGAGGUUAGUAGGAUUCUGCAUUGAGUGUAGGAUUUAGAGGGGCAUGAUGGCUCCAGGAAAGGCAUUAUAACCAAUGCUCCAUUUUAUAUUGGCUCAGUUUCCCCAAUAAGAAUGAUUGCUCUGAGAAGUUUAAAAAAAAAAAAAAAAAAAAAAAAAGCUGUCUUUGUGAAAAGAAAUAGCUGUUUCCUUAGAAGACCUAACACCCUCCCAUUCCCUGUCAUUAUUUCCUAUUGGGUGCUCUGUUUAUUUUUUAAUAGAUUCACCACAAUUAACAAUUACUGAGUUUGUCUGCCUCCUUUCACUAAACUAACACCGGUGUCUGUGUAAGAGCCAGGUUCAGAGAUCUGGCUCAGCCCUCCCUCCUACAGAGCUCUUGAUAAAUAUUCAAAUGAAUCAGACACAGGUACCCAUCAACCCUGCUUUGUCACCAAAUUUGUGGCUUCUGAUAGUGAAAGAGACUGCUAAACUGUCAGGACAUCACAUGGGGGGAGGAGGGGAACUGGGGUCUGCAUGGAGCAGUCAAGGUCAGUGAGGGCAAGUUCUUCCAGGGAGAAGAGGCUGGCGCAAGUAGCAGUGCAGACUGAUUCAUUGGGUGAAAAUUAGAAUUCUAAAGUGAAUAGGGAUUUUGAGUUUGUGAGUUAGUCAUACAAGUGUGACUUCAGAAUCCCCCAGCUGGUGAGGCUUGGACGACAGUGCAUUUAUAUAACCACCACCACCCCACCCUCCAUCCUGACUGUCAUCCCAGGUAGAAUUCUGUAAUUCUACCUGCUCUGGGAAGAGCAGAGAUUUUGGAAUAGAACUGCACUCAAAUUCUGCUCCCUCUUUUGGGCUCGCUGUUCCACCACGAGAAAUUACAUAUGUGAGCCUCAGAUUCCUCAACAAUAACAAUAAUUAAAAAUAAUUAUUGAUAAUAACAAUAAUUAUCCCAUAGAUUACAUAAAGCACCUGGUAAAGUGUCU